UCAACUCGAAUUUCUUUUUCAAAUUUCGAGUUUGAAUUGAGUUUGGUUUUGAAAUUCAAAUAACUUGAAUAAUUUGAAUAAACCGAAUACCAAACUAUAAUAUUUUACACUUUUACCUCAAACUCCCAAACCUCUUUACUUUCCCCCAAAACUUUUACUCCCUUCCACUUUCCCCCCAAAACUUUUUCUCCCCUUCCAUCCCACCCCCUUCUACCCCAAAUCCAUCCUCCCAAAUUUUUUUUGAAUAUUCCCCCCAAAAUUUUUAUCCACCAUUUACUUUUCCCCAAUCCCUCAACCCCCAAAACUUUUUAUUUCCCCCAAAACUUUUAUUUCUCACCUUUUACCCCC
Molecule: long non-coding RNA, 348 nt
Filed under: Gossypium raimondii (Peruvian cotton)
Lineage: Eukaryota; Viridiplantae; Streptophyta; Magnoliopsida; Malvales; Malvaceae
Description: long non-coding RNA (GRAI_LNC003703)
Source: RNAcentral